GAGGGUAUAACUCAGUGGUAGAGCACAUGCUUAGCAUGCACGAGGUCCUGGGUUCAAUCCCCAGUGCCUCCG
RNAcentral lists this transfer RNA (72 nucleotides) under Camelus bactrianus (Bactrian camel). It matches the Rfam family "tRNA". From Rfam's summary of the family: Transfer RNA (tRNA) molecules are approximately 80 nucleotides in length. Lineage: Eukaryota; Metazoa; Chordata; Mammalia; Artiodactyla; Camelidae. The record is from Rfam by way of RNAcentral. RNAcentral also lists the same sequence under 2 other names.